GACGAACGCUGGCGGCGUGCUUAACACAUGCAAGUCGAACGGAAAGGCCCGGCUUUUGUUGCGUGCUCGUUUGGCGAGCGGGUGAGUAACACGUGUGUAACCUGCCCUUGACUUUGUGAUAACUUCACGAAACUGGGGCGCAUACCGGAUAGGAGCUCCUGCUGCAUGGUGGUGGUUGGUAAGUUUCGGCGGUUGGGGAUGGACUCGCGGGUUAUCAGCUGGUUUGUGUGGUAGUGGCUUACCAGGGGUUUGACGGGUAGGCCGCCUGAGAGGGUGACCGGGGACAUUGGUACUGAGAGACGGAGCAGUAUCCUACGGGCGGCAGCAGUGGGGAACCUUGCAGAACGGGGCCACGUGUGAUGCAGAAAUCUCGGGUGCGGGAUGACGGCCUACGGGUGGUAAACCGCUUUCGCCUGUGACGAAGCGUGAGUGACGGUAAUGAGUCAAGAAGCAACGGCUAACUACGUG
This 468-nucleotide ribosomal RNA is filed under the name uncultured bacterium. RNAcentral's name for it is "partial 16S ribosomal RNA". It matches the Rfam family "Bacterial small subunit ribosomal RNA", at positions 28 to 507 of the family's 1533-position model. The record is from RNAcentral.